UGGUGGAGUGAUUUGUCUGGUUAAUUCCGUUAACGAACGAGACCUCAGCCUGCUAAUUAGCUUUCGCAAUUUCGAUUGACGCGAGCUUCUUAGAGGGACUAUCGGCUUUCAAGUCGGGGGAAGGUGUGAGGCAAUAACA
Molecule: ribosomal RNA, 139 nt
Filed under: uncultured eukaryote
Lineage: Eukaryota
Description: partial 18S ribosomal RNA
Rfam family: Eukaryotic small subunit ribosomal RNA
Source: RNAcentral